GCCGUCCUAGCUCAGUGGUAGAGUGCAUGGCUUUUAACCACGUGGUCGUGGGUUUCAAACCCACGGACGGCC
Molecule: transfer RNA, 72 nt
Filed under: Ipomoea nil (Japanese morning glory)
Lineage: Eukaryota; Viridiplantae; Streptophyta; Magnoliopsida; Solanales; Convolvulaceae
Rfam family: tRNA
About the family: Transfer RNA (tRNA) molecules are approximately 80 nucleotides in length. Their secondary structure includes four short double-helical elements and three loops (D, anti-codon, and T loops).
Source: Rfam by way of RNAcentral